Molecule: ribosomal RNA, 505 nt
Filed under: uncultured bacterium
Lineage: Bacteria
Description: partial 16S ribosomal RNA
Rfam family: Bacterial small subunit ribosomal RNA
Source: RNAcentral
GACGAACGCUGGCGGCGUGCCUAAUACAUGCAAGUAGAACGCACAGUUUAUACCAUAGCUUGCUACACCAUAGACUGUGAGUUGCGAACGGGUGAGUAACGCGUAGGUAACCUGCCUGGUAGCGGGGGAUAACUAUUGGAAACGAUAGCUAAUACCGCAUAAUAUUAAUUAUUGCAUGAUAAUUAAUUUAAAGGUGCAAUUGCACCACUACCAGAUGGACCUGCGUUGUAUUAGCUAGUAGGUGAGGUAACGGCUCACCUAGGCGACGAUACAUAGCCGACCUGAGAGGGUGAUCGGCCACACUGGGACUGAGACACGGCCCAGACUCCUACGGGAGGCAGCAGUAGGGAAUCUUCGGAAAUGGACGAAAGUCUGACCGAGCAACGCCGCGUGAGUGAAGAAGGGUUUCGGAUCGUAAAGCUCUGUUGUAAGAGAAGAACGGGUGUGAGAGUGGAAAGUUCACACUGUGACGGUAUCUUACCAGAAAGGGACGGCUAGCUACGUG